ACUUAAAUAGUUUAUUUUAAAAUAUUGAUUUGUGGAGUCAAGGAGGUCUAGGGACUUUAGGUA
RNAcentral lists this transfer RNA (63 nucleotides) under Lucanus mazama (cottonwood stag beetle). RNAcentral describes it as "tRNA-His". Lineage: Eukaryota; Metazoa; Arthropoda; Insecta; Coleoptera; Lucanidae. The record is from RNAcentral.